GAAGUGUUACACUCCACUAGAACUGCUUUAAAUAAGACUUCUCUCAGAGCUGCAGUCCCAGCCGUUCUCAGAUAACCCACCUGGGUAGAAUAAUGGCAGCCAUCUACUCCAACGUGAAGUUUAAAAACAAAGGGGUGAGAGAGACAGGAGAUGGGGAAUCAGGUGAAGGAAGUUCCAACACAAAUGAUGAGAUUAUAUACUCAGAAGUCCGAAUUGUACAAUCAGACAAGACAGUUGUCGUGACAACCCCUAAUGCUGAUCCCAGUCAUCCCAACCGGCCUGGAUCACAUGACCCUGCUGACUCCUCACCUGAGGCAGUGACCCCUGCCUUGGCUAAACAGAGACUGCUGCUGUGUUGUCUGUGUGCCGUCUUGUUUGCUGCAGGCCUCAUCGUUACAGUUCUCUGUGAGUCUUAUACAACUCAUAUACAAUAUACAUAUAUAUAAGUGGUUUGCAAAAGUAUUCAUGAACUUUUUCACAUUUUGUCACCUUACAACCACAAACUAUGAAUUCUAUUGAGAUUUUAAGUGAUAGACCAACACGAAAUAUCACAUAAAUGUGAAGUGAAAUUAAAA
Molecule: long non-coding RNA, 575 nt
Filed under: Astyanax mexicanus (Mexican tetra)
Lineage: Eukaryota; Metazoa; Chordata; Actinopteri; Characiformes; Acestrorhamphidae
Description: lncRNA (ENSAMXG00005003749.1)
Source: RNAcentral